Oncorhynchus nerka (sockeye salmon) is the source of this 704-nucleotide long non-coding RNA. RefSeq lists it as uncharacterized. The transcript is spliced from 2 exons. Lineage: Eukaryota; Metazoa; Chordata; Actinopteri; Salmoniformes; Salmonidae. The record is from RefSeq and is a predicted model, not a curated record.
AUGUCAAAUUAGCGUCUUCAUCACACAGAUACUACAGUUUGUCAGCAGGGUGGAUAAUAAGUAUAAGCGUAUGAACAGCAGUGAGCGUGUUCGCAUUGUGAGCUCAGGAAACCCAACGCUGCCCAGACCAGGCUUCGAAACCCUGAGACAGGAUGGUAAGCCUUGCACCCUACACCCUAAACACUACAGGAAACCCAACGCUGCCCAGACCAGGCUUCGAACCCUGAGACAGGAUGGUAAGCCUUGCACCCUACACCCUAAACACUACAGGAAACCCAACGCUGCCCAGACCAGGCUUCGAAACCCUGAGACAGGAUGGUAAGCCUUGCACCCUACACCCUAAACACUACAGGAAACCCAACGCUGCCCAGACCAGGCUUCGAAACCCUGAGACAGGAUGGUAAGCCUUGCACCCUACACUAUACACUACAGGAAACCCAACGCUGCCCAGACCAGGCUUCGAAACCCUGAGACAGGAUGGUAAGCCUUGCACCCUACACCCUAAACACUACAGGAAACCCAACGCUGCCCAGACCAGGCUUUGAAACCCUGAGACAGGAUGGUAAGCCUUGCACCCUACACCCUAAACACUACAGGAAACCCAACGCUGCCCAGACCAGGCUUCGAAACCCUGAGACAGGAUGGUAAGCCUUGCACCCUACACCCUAAACACUACAGGAAACCCAACGCUGCCCAGACCAGGC